RNAcentral lists this ribosomal RNA (1498 nucleotides) under uncultured bacterium. Its description in RNAcentral is "16S ribosomal RNA". It matches the Rfam family "Bacterial small subunit ribosomal RNA". The record is from RNAcentral.
UAGAGUUUGAUCAUGGCUCAGGAUGAACGCUAGCGACAGGCUUAACACAUGCAAGUCGAGGGGCAGCGGGGAGGUAGCAAUACUUCCGCCGGCGACCGGCGCACGGGUGAGUAACACGUAUGGAACCUGCCCGUAGCAGGGGGAUAAACGGAAGAAAUUCCGUCUAAUACCGCGUAAUAACUCCGAGAGGCAUCUCAUGGAGUUUAAAGGGUAACACCGGCUACGGAUGGCCAUGCGGCGCAUUAGCUAGUUGGCGGGGUAACGGCCCACCAAGGCGACGAUGCGUAGGGGUUCUGAGAGGAAGGUCCCCCACACUGGUACUGAGACACGGACCAGACUCCUACGGGAGGCAGCAGUGAGGAAUAUUGGUCAAUGGGCGCGAGCCUGAACCAGCCAAGUCGCGUGAGGGAAGACGGUCCUAUGGAUUGUAAACCUCUUUUGUCGGGGAGCAAAAGACGCCACGUGUGGCGUUCCGAGAGUACCCGAAGAAAAAGCAUCGGCUAACUCCGUGCCAGCAGCCGCGGUAAUACGGAGGAUGCGAGCGUUAUCCGGAUUUAUUGGGUUUAAAGGGUGCGCAGGCGGAAGAUCAAGUCAGCGGUAAAAUUGAGAGGCUCAACCUCUUCGAGCCGUUGAAACUGGUUUUCUUGAGUGAGCGAGAAGUAUGCCGAAUGCGUGGUGUAGCGGUGAAAUGCAUAGAUAUCACGCAGAACUCCGAUUGCGAAGGCAGCAUACCGGCGCUCAACUGACGCUCAUGCACGAAAGUGUGGGUAUCGAACAGGAUUAGAUACCCUGGUAGUCCACACAGUAAACGAUGAAUACUAAUUGUUCGGGGAGAAUGAUCCCUGAGUGAUACAGCGAAAGCGUUAAGUAUUCCACCUGGGGAGUACGCCGGCAACGGUGAAACUCAAAGGAAUUGACGGGGGCCCGCACAAGCGGAGGAACAUGUGGUUUAAUUCGAUGAUACGCGAGGAACCUUACCCGGGCUCAAACGACACAGGAAUACUUUUGAAAGGAAGUAGCUCUACGGAGCCUGUGUCGAGGUGCUGCAUGGUUGUCGUCAGCUCGUGCCGUGAGGUGUCGGCUUAAGUGCCAUAACGAGCGCAACCCCCAUCGCCAGUUACCAGCAAGUCAAGUUGGGGACUCUGGCGAGACUGCCGGCGCAAGCUGUGAGGAAGGCGGGGAUGACGUCAAAUCAGCACGGCCCUUACGUCCGGGGCGACACACGUGUUACAAUGGCAGGUACAGAGAGAAGCAAUGCGGCGACGCAAAGCGGAACUUGAAAGCCUGUCUCAGUUCGGAUUGGAGUCUGCAACUCGACUCCAUGAAGCUGGAUUCGCUAGUAAUCGCGCAUCAGCCAUGGCGCGGUGAAUACGUUCCCGGGCCUUGUACACACCGCCCGUCAAGCCAUGGAAGCCGGGAGUGCCUGAAGUGUGCAACCGCAAGGAGCGCCCUAAGGUAAAACUGGUGACUGGGGCUAAGUCGUAACAAGGUAACCGUA